Molecule: ribosomal RNA, 256 nt
Filed under: uncultured bacterium
Lineage: Bacteria
Description: partial small subunit ribosomal RNA
Rfam family: Bacterial small subunit ribosomal RNA
Source: RNAcentral
GGGACGAACGCUGGCGGCGUGCUUAACACAUGCAAGUCGAGCGGAAAGGCCCUUCGGGGUACUCGAGCGGCGAACGGGUGAGUAACACGUGAGCAACCUGCCCCUGGCUCUGGGAUAGCCUCCGGAAACGGGGAUUAAAUACCGGAUAUUCACUGCUCCCUGCAUGGGGGGUGUGGAAAGUUUUUCGGCUAGGGUGGGGCUCGCGGCCUAUCAGCUUGUUGGGGGGGUGACGGCCCACCAAGGCGACGACGGGUAG